This 520-nucleotide ribosomal RNA is filed under the name uncultured Glomus. RNAcentral describes it as "SSU rRNA". It matches the Rfam family "Eukaryotic small subunit ribosomal RNA", at positions 569 to 1090 of the family's 1831-position model. Lineage: Eukaryota; Fungi; Glomeromycota; Glomeromycetes; Glomerales; Glomeraceae. The record is from RNAcentral.
AGCAGCCGCGGUAAUUCCAGCUCCAAUAGCGUAUAUUAAAGUUGUUGCAGUUAAAAAGCUCGUAGUUGAAUUUCGGGGUUAGCAGGUCGGUCGUGCCAUCGGUAUGAACUGGUCUCGCUGAUCCCUCCCUCUUGACGAACUGUGAUGCCAUUAAUUUGGUGUCGCAGGGAAUCAGGACUGCUACUUUGAAAAAUUAAAGUGUUUAAAGCAGGCUCACGCUUGAAUACAUUAGCAUGGAAUAAUGAAAUAGGACGUUUGAUCCUAUUUUGUUGGCUUCUAGGGAUUGACGUAAUGAUUAAUAGGGAUAGUUGGGGGCAUUAGUAUUCAAUUGUCAGAGGUGAAAUUCUUGGAUUUAUUGAAGACUAACUACUGCGAAAGCAUUUGCCAAGGAUGUUUUCAUUAAUCAAGAACGAAAGUUAGGGGAUCGAAGACGAUCAGAUACCGUCGUAGUCUUAACCAUAAACUAUGCCGACUAGGGAUCGGAUGAUGUUAAUUUUUUAAUGACUCAUUCGGCGCCUUA